RNAcentral lists this long non-coding RNA (442 nucleotides) under Amborella trichopoda. RNAcentral's name for it is "long non-coding RNA (ATRI_LNC003934)". The record is from RNAcentral. Lineage: Eukaryota; Viridiplantae; Streptophyta; Magnoliopsida; Amborellales; Amborellaceae.
AGGAAACAAAAGAAGACGAUAAAAAAAUGAAUUCAACAAGAGUUAUAGUUAAAUUGAAAAGAAAAUUGAAACCUAGUUUUAUUAGUUCUCCCUCAAUUUUAUCACGGUAGCCUUCUGAUAUUUUCCACUACUCAUUUUAGUUAUCCGGAAAAUUCUUUUCCUCCCACUUCUACCUCACAAAUAAAAAUAUUCCACUACAAAUAAAAAUAUUCCACUACUCAUUUUAGUUAUCUGGAAAAUUCUUUUCCUCCCACUUCUACCUCACAAAUAAAUAUAGGGUUAUGGUCGGGUCUUUUCACAAAAUUCAUUCUACUUGCUUUUUGGAGUAGUAAUUGUCAUAUUUCUUAAUGUCUUUUCUACAAAAAAAGAUUGUAAAAUUAGAUUUCUUUUUAAAUUCUUUUUUUCUGAAACAUUUUUCUCCCAUUGUUUUUAUGGCUUCUCA